GAUGAACGCUGGCGGCGUGCCUAAUACAUGCAAGUCGAGCGAACAGACGAGGAGCUUGCUCCUCUGACGUUAGCGGCGGACGGGUGAGUAACACGUGGAUAACCUACCUAUAAGACUGGGAUAACGUCGGGAAACCGGAGCUAAUACCGUAUAAUAUAUUGAACCGCAUGGUUCAAGAGUGAAAGACGGUUUUGCUGUCACUUAUAGAUGGAUCCGCGCCGCAUUAGCUGGUUGGUAAGGUAACGGCUUACCAAGGCAACGAUGCGUAGCCGACCUGAGAGGGUGAUCGGCCACACUGGAACUGAGACACGGUCCAGACUCCUAAGGGAGGCAGCAGUAGGGAAUCUUCCGCAAUGGGCGAAAGCCUGACGGAGCAACGCCGCGUGAGUGAUGAAGGUCUUCGGAUCGUAAAACUCUGUUAUUAGGGAAGAACAAAUGUGUAAGUAAAUAUGCACGUCUUGACGGUACCUACUCAGAAAGCCACGGCUAACUACGUG
Molecule: ribosomal RNA, 497 nt
Filed under: uncultured bacterium
Lineage: Bacteria
Description: partial 16S ribosomal RNA
Rfam family: Bacterial small subunit ribosomal RNA
Source: RNAcentral